RNAcentral lists this ribosomal RNA (1369 nucleotides) under uncultured bacterium. RNAcentral describes it as "16S ribosomal RNA". It matches the Rfam family "Bacterial small subunit ribosomal RNA", at positions 28 to 1381 of the family's 1533-position model. The record is from RNAcentral.
GACGAACGCUGGCGGCGUGCCUAAUACAUGCAAGUCGAGCGAAUGGAUGGGAGCUUGCUCCCUGAAGUUAGCGGCGGACGGGUGAGUAACACGUGGGCAACCCGCCUGUAAGACUGGGAUAACUUCGGGAAACCGGAGCUAAUACCGGAUAAUUUCUUUCUUCACAUGGAGAGAGGUUGAAAGACGGCUUCGGCUGUCACUUACAGAUGGGCCCGCGGCGCAUUAGCUAGUUGGUGAGGUAACGGCUCACCAAGGCGACGAUGCGUAGCCGACCUGAGAGGGUGAUCGGCCACACUGGGACUGAGACACGGCCCAGACUCCUACGGGAGGCAGCAGUAGGGAAUCUUCCGCAAUGGACGAAAGUCUGACGGAGCAACGCCGCGUGAGUGAUGAAGGUCUUCGGAUCGUAAAACUCUGUUAUCAGGGAAGAACAAGUAUCGGAGUAACUGCCGGUACCUUGACGGUACCUGACCAGAAAGCCACGGCUAACUACGUGCCAGCAGCCGCGGUAAUACGUAGGUGGCAAGCGUUGUCCGGAAUUAUUGGGCGUAAAGCGCGCGCAGGCGGUUUCUUAAGUCUGAUGUGAAAGCCCACGGCUCAACCGUGGAGGGUCAUUGGAAACUGGGGAACUUGAGUGCAGAAGAGAAGAGCGGAAUUCCACGUGUAGCGGUGAAAUGCGUAGAGAUGUGGAGGAACACCGGUGGCGAAAGCGGCUCUCUGGUCUGUAACUGACGCUGAGGCUCGAAAGCGUGGGGAGCGAACAGGAUUAGAUACCCUGGUAGUCCACGCCGUAAACGAUGAGUGCUAGGUGUUAGGCCCUUUCCGGGGCUUAGUGCCGCAGCUAACGCAUUAAGCACUCCGUCUGGGGAGUACGACCGCAAGGUUGAAACUCAAAGGAAUUGACGGGGGCCCGCACAAGCGGUGGAGCAUGUGGUUUAAUUCGAAGCAACGCGAAGAACCUUACCAGGUCUUGACAUCCCGAUGCCCGCUCUAGAGAUAGAGUUUUACUUCGGUACAUCGGUGACAGGUGGUGCAUGGUUGUCGUCAGCUCGUGUCGUGAGAUGUUGGGUUAAGUCCCGCAACGAGCGCAACCCUUAUUGUUAGUUGCCAUCAUUCAGUUGGGCACUCUAGCGAGACUGCCGGUAAUAAACCGGAGGAAGGUGGGGAUGACGUCAAAUCAUCAUGCCCCUUAUGACCUGGGCUACACACGUGCUACAAUGGCUGGUACAACGAGUCGCAAGUCGGUGACGGCAAGCUAAUCUCUUAAAGCCAGUCUCAGUUCGGAUUGUAGGCUGCAACUCGCCUACAUGAAGUCGGAAUCGCUAGUAAUCGCGGAUCAGCACGCCGCGGUGAAUACGUUCCCGGGCCU